This 497-nucleotide ribosomal RNA is filed under the name uncultured bacterium. RNAcentral's name for it is "partial 16S ribosomal RNA". It matches the Rfam family "Bacterial small subunit ribosomal RNA", at positions 28 to 507 of the family's 1533-position model. The record is from RNAcentral.
GAUGAACGCUGGCGGCGUGCCUAAUACAUGCAAGUCGAGCGAACAGACGAGGAGCUUGCUCCUCUGACGUUAGCGGCGGACGGGUGAGUAACACGUGGAUAACCUACCUAUAAGACGGGGAUAACUUCGGGAAACCGGCGCUAAUACCGGAUAAUAUAUUGAACCGCAUGGUUCAAUAGUGAAAGACGGUUUUGCUGUCACUUAUUGAUGGAUCCGCGCCGCAUUAGCUAGUUGGUAAGGUAACGGCUUACCAAGGCGACGAUGCGUAGCCGACCUGAGAGGGUGAUCGGCCACCCUGGAAUUGAGCCACGGUCCAGACUCCUACGGGAGGCAGCAGUAGGGAAUCUUCCGCAAUGGGCGAAAGCCUGACGGAGCAACGCCGCGUGAGUGAUGAAGGUCUUCGGAUCGUAAAACUCUGUUAUUAGGGAAGAACAAUUGUGUAAGUAACUAUGCACGUCUUGACGGUACCUAAUCAGAAAGCCACGGCUAACUACGUG